RNAcentral lists this ribosomal RNA (478 nucleotides) under uncultured bacterium. RNAcentral's name for it is "partial 16S ribosomal RNA". It matches the Rfam family "Bacterial small subunit ribosomal RNA", at positions 28 to 523 of the family's 1533-position model. The record is from RNAcentral.
GACGAACGCUGGCGGCGUGCUUAACACAUGCAAGUCGAACGGUAAGGCCCUUCGGGGUACACGAGUGGCGAACGGGUGAGUAACACGUGAGUAACCUGCCCUUGACUCUGGGAUAACUGCUAGAAAUGGUAGCUAAUACCGGAUACGACCCUCGGUGGCAUCACCAGGGGGUGGAAAGAAUUUCGGUCAAGGAUGGACUCGCGGCCUAUCAGCCAGCUGGUGAGGUAACGGCUCACCAAGGCGACGACGGGUAGCCGGCCUGAGAGGGUGACCGGCCACACUGGGACUGAGAUACGGCCCAGACUCCUACGGGAGGCAGCAGUGGGGAAUAUUGCACAAUGGGCGCAAGCCUGAUGCAGCGACGCCGCGUGAGGGAUGACGGCCUUCGGGUUGUAAACCUCUUUCAGCAUCGACGAAGCGAAAGUGACGGUAGGUGCAGAAGAAGGACCGGCCAACUACGUGCCAGCAGCCGCCGUAA